AUUGAACGCUGGCGGCAGGCUUAACACAUGCAAGUCGAGCGGGGUGAUGGUGCUUGCACUAUCACUUAGCGGCGGACGGGUGAGUAAUGCUUAGGAAUCUGCCUAUUAGUGGGGGACAACAUCUCGAAAGGGAUGCUAAUACCGCAUACGUCCUACGGGAGAAAGCAGGGGAUCACUUGUGACCUUGCGCUAAUAGAUGAGCCUAAGUCGGAUUCGGUAGGUGGUGGGGUAAAGGCCUACCAAGGCGACGAUCUGGAGCGGGUCUGAGAGGAUGAUCGGCCACCCGAGGACUGAGUCACGGCCCAGGCUCCUGCGGGAGGCACCUGUGGGGAGUAUUGGACAAUGGGGGGAACCCGGAUCCAGCCAUGCCGCGUGUGUGAAGAAGGCCUUAUGGUUGUAAAGCACUUUAAGCGAGUAGGAGGCUCUUUUGGUGAAUACCCAAGAUGAGUGGACGUUACUCGCAGAAUAAGCACCGGCUAACUCUGUGCCAGCCGCCGCUGUAA
This 503-nucleotide ribosomal RNA is filed under the name uncultured bacterium. RNAcentral's name for it is "partial 16S ribosomal RNA". It matches the Rfam family "Bacterial small subunit ribosomal RNA", at positions 30 to 523 of the family's 1533-position model. The record is from RNAcentral.